Molecule: ribosomal RNA, 467 nt
Filed under: uncultured bacterium
Lineage: Bacteria
Description: partial 16S ribosomal RNA
Rfam family: Bacterial small subunit ribosomal RNA
Source: RNAcentral
GAUGAACGCUGACAGAAUGCUUAACACAUGCAAGUCCACUUGAAUUUGGGUUUUUAACUUAGGUUUGGGUGGCGGACGGGUGAGUAACGCGUAAAGAACUUGCCUCACAGCUAGGGACAACAUUUGGAAACGAAUGCUAAUACCUAAUAUUAUGAUAAUAGGGCAUCCUAUAAUUAUGAAAGCUAUAAGCGCUGUGAGAGAGCUUUGCGUCCCAUUAGCUAGUUGGAGAGGUAACGGCUCACCAAGGCGAUGAUGGGUAGCCGGCCUGAGAGGGUGAUCGGCCACAAGGGGACUGAGACACGGCCCUUACUCAUACGGGAGGCAGCAGUGGGGAAUAUUGGACAAUGGACCGAGAGUCUGAUCCAGCAAUUCUGUGUGCACGAUGAAGUUUUUCGGAAUGUAAAGUGCUUUCAGUUGGGAAGAAACAAAUGACGGUACCAACAGAAGAAGUGACGGCUAAAUACGUG